This 88-nucleotide transfer RNA is filed under the name Desulfosarcina widdelii. Its description in RNAcentral is "tRNA-Leu". It matches the Rfam family "tRNA". From Rfam's summary of the family: Transfer RNA (tRNA) molecules are approximately 80 nucleotides in length. The record is from RNAcentral. Lineage: Bacteria; Pseudomonadati; Thermodesulfobacteriota; Desulfobacteria; Desulfobacterales; Desulfosarcinaceae.
GCCCGGGUGGCGGAACAGGUAGACGCAAGGGACUUAAAAUCCCUCGAUACCAAGUAUCGUGCCGGUUCGAUUCCGGCCCCGGGCACCA